Long non-coding RNA from Equus asinus (donkey), 8311 nucleotides. The record is from Ensembl. NCBI's taxonomy places the organism in Eukaryota, Metazoa, Chordata, Mammalia, Perissodactyla, Equidae.
GCACAUCAGGCCUGUCAGAGUAGGGAGGGCCCCAUCUCUCUCUCAUCAAGGAAUACAAGCAGAAUUGGCAUACUGUCCUCUGGAAGGCUGCCUGCGGCCGCACCUCACCCCUCUGGCACUCUGGACAGGCUGGCCUUCCGGGCAGCUUCUGCCCCAGUUGCCCUGGUGUCCUCUGAGGAAGCACUGUGGAGAGGCAGGGAGGCAGAAGGCGCUGUGCUCUGGCUAGAACUGUGCAAUGCCUUGGUCACGGCUCCUCGAGCCAUCACUGCCCAGCGGCAUUGCUGCAUUUUGAGUCACGCUGCCAGCAGCAAUGAGACAUCUAUAGACUCUUGUCUGUGCAGGAUCAGAAAUGGGAGUAAGGACUCCUUGGUUCUGACCUAGCAGGUCUCUAAGAAACAAGAUCACAGCUGUAUCUGCCAGCAAAGAUUUAACUCUUGUUUCCAAAGCAUCAGCUGGCAAAUUAAUUAGUUCUUAGUGGCCAGCAGAGCAAUGGUGGUAAAGCGGGAGGGAGUCUCAUGGGCUGCUCCCCAUCUAGGUCCUGGGCUUGGCCUCUUGGAGAUAACUUUCUCUCGUUGGAGUGAGGCUCCGUGACAGCAGGAGUAUGUCCCUUGUUCACUCCUUUCUCAGCACCUGGAAUAGCACCAGGCAGAGGUGGCAUUCAGUCAGUAUUUGUGGGAUGAAUGAAUCCACCGCUGAAAUCUGGCCCGGGCUGGAGAAUGGGCUGGCCUCCUGUUCUGGAGGACAGAGCCCUUUGCAGUUCCACUCAGAGAAGGCCUUGGGCUGGAGAGAAUCAGUGUUAUUGCUCCUCUCUCAUCUUUCUUCUGUAAUUGAGUCAUCACUGAAGACUCAGAGACAGGAGAAAGCAAAACAGUGCAGGGCUCCCUCAGCUUUGUGGGGUGGGGGGCAGUAUUAGAAAGUGCAUAAUAAGGAUGUCGCCUUCUGGGUGUGUGGGGAACCCUGUUGAGGCAAAUCCGCAUAUAUUUGCAUACAUAUAUACACGCACCCUAACCUGCAAAGGGACGCCUAGCUCUUGCCACCUAUGAAAAGACUAAUCCUUCUAUUCUCUCCAGGAUGUGCUGAAUCAAAACUUAACUGCUAAUGUUCUAGAAAUCUUAGGGGGAAAAACACAAAAUGAACAUGCCAUUUAAAUUUUAAGUUUAAAAAUGUCAUUUUUGGUUUACAUUUUUUAAACUAGAAAAGAGCCUAUCUUGAAGACUUUCCAGGGUGGGAGAAAGGGAUACAGGCAAAGAUAAACUCAAUCCUGAACCUUCCGUUGAAAAGGAGACUGGAUCUACUGUUUCCUUCUUUCUCUGUGUGCCGUGCAGUAGCUCAACCCCGUCCUAACAAGAGGGCUAACACGGCUUGGAGAAAUUGGGUCUCUUCUUUUUCCAGAAUCAUCACACGUUUUCCGAAGGAAAAAUGGACUCUCACUUUCGAAAACACAAAACCACGUUUGCUUUACGUGCCGUAGAAAAGAACUCUGCGCGCCACGCGGAGAGCAGGCUGGGCGCCGGGAGCCGGCGAGCCGAGCGCCGCGGCGUGUUGUGUAACCGGCCCGGGAAUCACGUUGCACUGCCGAGUUCCACGGGCUCUUAGUGCAUUAAUAAGCUUGAUCUUUUUAUUCAAAUACAAGGAGCAACCACAGCCGGCUCCAGGUCACGUGUCCUGAUCACAUGGUGCUCAGACGCCGAAACCGGCUGGCGAUCAUUAACUAGUGCUUACUCCCGGGAGAGAAUGCAGGUUUUAAAGAGACGAACUCUUAUUUUUAUAAAACAGCCAGGACUGCAAUAGAAGGUGUGUUUUGUUUCGCAUUAUACGAAGAAUACUUUCCAAAAACACUGUGCAAAAUGGCCUCAGCCUUACAGGAAAAACCACCCGUGAUGGUCUGCAGCCUUAUAUCCUAUUUCAUUGAACUGUUUUCGGAAACAAUAAAUAUGUAAAGAAUUUCCAGUGUUCUACGUUCACUGUAUCACUGAAAUAUAUGUAUUUCAGGAAAUUUCCCUAGUGAGGGAGUUUGCUUGUCUCUGUUCUUUCCCCUGCUCUGCCUCUUCAAAACGAUGACAGUCUGUGACCUAAAGGAUGGAUCCAGAUCUUUUGAAGAGAAUGUAAAAUUUAUAUAUACAAAAUUUGAUAUUAAAGUAUCACAAAAUUCAGAAAAAAUACUUAUUAUUUAACACACCUCUAAAAUCCUUUUUAUCCUGCAUUUUGGAGGGCGUGUUCUUGGAGGGGCUCAUAUUCUUGAAAGGAGAGAACUUUAAUCUUGACCAGCUGUCAAUUUUAAGUGUGCCUACCAUUGUACAAAUUUAAUGAUUAGAAAAAUUUUCCCCGGACCAGCUUCUGACUAGUCUGUUCUGGCUUUGUCUGUUCCACAUCUUGUCUCUCCUCCCCCAGCCCACAGUAUCUCUGGGGCUGACGCUGCAGGACACACUCGUGUUGUAAUGUGACCUCUGGAUCUGAGCCUACACAUCUCCGUGCUGGGUGAGUUAACACAGUGGCCCUAGGAAUAUUCCUGGAAACCUUCCUUGCUCCAGAACAGCCAACAGUAACUUAACUGUAUAGUUUAUAAAUUUAUAAAUAUCUUUACCUAAAGUAGGUAUCUGUAACACAGAUUCCUCUUAGCCAGGUCCCAAAAAUGCCCAUGCCCACUCCAAAGUCACCUGAAAGGAGGGGAAAUGUGGCCAAAGAGAAGUCAGAGUAGAAAGAGGCAGUGAUCUUAAACAAUUACGGUCAUGGUAUCUUACCGCUGCCAAGUUUACGAAAGCAAAUAGCCACGAAUGUGUUGCUGGGGCUCCUGCGUGAGCCUCCAACGAGGGCUGUGAAGUGAGAGGGCUGGAGUCUCAUUUUCAUUAGCUUCAUGAUAACUCUGUGCCUAGUGACCCCGGGUGCAUAAUAAGUACAUCAAAAGCAGUCAUUUUCUAGGUCCUGGAAUCAAAGAUGGGCGUUUGAGGCAAGCUUGCUCAUCUGGGCAGCUUGUAUGGAAUGACUUGUCAGGGUAAACCCCACUUGAUAAAGGGCCUCUGCUGGCCUCUGACUCAGCCCCUUGCACAUUCCCCUCUCCCGCCAGGCUCCCAGCGAAAAGCAGCCUCCUGUGUAUGGGUGGGGGUGGGGGGGCGUGGCAGGGAAGCGGCAUUUGUCCCGCCUGUGUUUUGUGCCCAGCACUACCAGCACGUCACACUCUUUAUUCCUCAGGACGACCCUGUGAAGUGGCUGUUACACUUAGUCCUGCUCUGCAGCUGAGAAACCGAGGCAGAGAGAUUGUUUCCUGCCUACAGUCACGUGGGGAGAGGUUGCAAAGCUGGCACUCAAAAACCCAGUCUGUCUGACUCCCCAGGCUGGUUCCUUCGUGGCAGAACUCUGACCUUAAGCUUUUCGUGAAGUGAAUGCAACAUGCCUUGUUAUAGUUUCCAGAGCAGAGCCGACUUUAUUUGCAGCCAUAUCCGGUUAUGGCUCCGCUUUCUUUACAUCCCUUCUUGUGGAGCAUGAUCUCAUUGCCUGCUAAAAUAAUUACGGAGUGGAGCCAACAGGAUUCCUUGACCAGCUUUAAAGCUUCCCUCUUCCCCUCUGAUGGUAAUGUUCUUUCCUGCCUUCACCUGCCAGUACCCUUGAAUCUUAUCGACGCCAUGCUUCGCUCUCCCCGUGCCACCCCAUUGAUUGCCCCUAGAACAUGCCACCCGUCUUUAUGCUGCCCAGCAGAAAGAGCCACCUUGCUGAGUCACUUGCUUAGCUUGUCAGGACAGUAUUUUGAAUUUGGCAAGGCUUGCCAACAUUCUGUUUGUGGAGGAAAGGAGGCUGUCAGUUCAGACGAUGCGUAAAUGUACUAAUUAGCUGGAUGGAAAGAGCCCAGGUGCAGGCGGCAGCCUCUCCCGGCCAGAGGAGAUAGAUACCCAUCGGAUACAGUCUCCUGACAGCAGGAGCAGCGAUUCAGCAUCCCAGGCCAGGCUGCAGACAGGGACUCAAGAGCAUCACUGACUCCUUUAGCUCAGGGUUUCUCAACUUCUCCAGCGCUGGAGACUGGACUGGGGGUGGGGAGUGGGGGAGCUGUCCUAUGCAUUGUAGGAUAUUUGGUAGCAUCCCUCUGCUACCCAGGACUCGAUCCCUCCCCCAGAUUGUGACAAUCAAAAAUAUCUUCAGACAUUGUCCAAAAUCACCCCUGGUCAAGAGCUGCUGCAUGAGACCUGUCAGCAGACGGCCACUUCAGCUUCCAGUUGUGUUGAUUCUUAAGGCGGCAGGUCAGGAGACAGAGGGGCUUUGGGCUCUCAUAGGGAGGUAACCCACAGUGGGAGUGUUCUGAGUUAGACACGGGGCUCACGGUGGCAGCCCUCUUGGGUGAGAGUGUUGUAAGGAAAAAGGUAAAACCUUUGAGCGUGGAAGAACACUCGUUUCUCCCCAGUCAGAGUUAACCUUAGAUUGAGGGCGUUACCCAAAAAGUUUAGCUGGGUGGUUAAGAGUUCUGCAGUCAGAGACCUGGGUUUGAAUCCCAGCUUUGCUCUUAAUUAGCUUAACUUUGGACAAGUUACUUUACCUAUCUGUGUCUUGGUUUCCUUAUUUGUAAUAAGGGAAUGAUAAUAUCUAUACCAAAGAGUUGUUCUAAAAAUUCAGUGUGAUAAUGCUUGUGCUCGACACAUAGUAAGUGCUUAACCAAUGUAACUCACUUUUAAAAAUUUCUGGACCAAUCUUUGAUUUUUUUAUUUUUUAUUAUGUAGAUAAGUAGAGUUCUUUCUACCCAUACCCUCCAGGUAAUUGUGUCAACCUCCUGCCUGGUCGAAUGAUUCUGGAAACAGUAUAGCAAGCAUCCACUUUAGAAUCUCCUUCUAGCUCUUUCUGGGAAGUACAGAUGCCCUCUCCCUGAGAACUUCUAUGGUCGUCAUCAAAGUUGUGCUCUCCAGAGAAAGCUCAGCUCACCACCAGUGACCCAUCAGGGUUCUUGGCCUCAGGUACCAUGGUCUGCAGGGUGCUUGCUCUGCUCAUACUAAGCCUCAGGUGUUUUGCAAACGUUUUUAACCCCAUCAUGUCCAUGAAAGGAUUCACUGAUAUAUUCAAUUACCAACAAGAGAUAAUUAAAAAAAAAUGGAAAACAGUGAAAAUGAAUGAAUGUUGCCCUUGUUUACGGACCGAGUUAUUCAACGUUAGGAAAGAUUCUAGUUGACAAAGGGUGAUUGUGUCGUGUAUAGAAGCUGGCUUGCCUCUACAGUCAACAAUAAUCAGCAAGAGACAGGACAAGUAAUAGACAAAAGCAAAAGGAUCUGAAGUGUCGUGGCUCGGAGGCAUCAACAGAGAGUCUGCCAGCCUCCUUCAGGAGCAUGCCAGGAGUUUGUUUGAAGACUUAGAGGCUAGAGUGAUGAAAUGUUUGCCCCAAGCCAUGGAUGUUUCCUCUGUACAAGGUCCCCUUUGAAUUUGCCUGAGUUCAAAGUGCAGUGGGGUGAUGGAUAUGAAGCUGAGAUUCUUACAAUAUUUGCAGAUGUUCUCUCUCCCGAUGUGAUUUCAACAUAGAAAAAAACGAAUUUGUUGGGAGAAACUAUGCCUGAGAGAAUAUACACCAGCUAAGAGGAGGAGCAUAUGCUUGAUUUUAAAAGACUCCUAAGUGACAGAAAUCAAUCUGAGGGCUGCGAGCGUCACCCCCUCCUGGGCAACGGGGAUGACAAACAGUGCGCUUAACAAAGGCUUUCAGGAAUUAACCUGAUUCUGUGCGGAGCUUCUGAACAAGAAGAGUCUUGCUUCUGCCUGGCAGCUACUUAGUUAUUUCCCCACAUAUGUGACAUGUGAGCUCAGAUUGGUAAACAUGGGGAUGGUUUUUAAAAUUCUCAGGGCAUAAACAGAUGGUAUAGUUCCAACCUAGACUACUGUAUCAUUCUAUAAUCUUUUGGACGCAAUAAGAGUGGCUUCCUCAGAGCUUUGAACUCUGCAGAGCUGGAGCUGAAAGCAGCUUAGAAGAGCACAGGAAAGCAGGUUCCAUCCUGGUGGCUAUUCGCUUCCCUUUCCUCUUCCUUUUCGUAGUCCAGCAAAGUCCAAGGCCUUGGAAUUCUAGCCGGAUCUACUGGCUGAUGUAGAAAAAUGAGCAAGGAGAAUCAGCUAGGCAGCUGGCCCAGGCGUCAACUCAGGAUGGACCAUUCUUAUUGAGCUCUGGUGCAAUUUACUUUUGUAAAUUCGCGUUGUUACUGAAUAAACAGUCAAAGUUAGCUGUGACAGUUCAACUGAGGAUGUAAGAUGACAUGACAUUUUAACAUAGUGUGUGCUUCAAAAAACCUUUUACUUUGCAAUAAUUUCAGACUUCCAGAGAAGUAAAUACAACAGAGGAUUUUGAUAUGUCUCUCACCCAGCCUCCCCUAACUCCACUGUCUGACUCGGCUAGGCCUCGCUUGGACGAAUGACUUGUAUGAAGCCACACAGCUAGUGACUGAAGAGCAGCUUUAGCACCUGGGACCGACUUGCCUAGUUCUGUUUGUUCUCUGCCACCACAGUGCCCCUCGUUAUCAUUAUCAAGUAACAUUAAAAAAAAUGCUUUGAUUUGAAUUACUUUAAGACUCAUAAAAAGUUGUAAAAAUAGUACGGAGAGAACCAUGUGCCCUUCACUCAACUUCUCCCAACAAUAAAAUCUUCUAUAACAAUAGUACAUUGUCAGAACUGGGAGCCUGACGUUGGUCCAAUGCUCUUGAGUCAGAUACAGACCUUCAAGUAACAUUUUUAACAUAUAAAUUUGUGCAUUCUGCUAAGCAAAAGCCAGAAAAAGACUCCAUCUUUUCAUAUUAAGGAGCUUACAAUCUAAACGGGCAUGUAAAGAUAAUUCACCGAAUAACAGCAUGCAAAUACAGCCCCAAAUAUAUUUUCAGGCCUUCUUUCAGAAAAGUGAGAGAUGGUGGGGAGAGUAUGGGUUUUGAACUCAGAUAAAUCUGGAUCUGAAUUCAGCUUUGCUGCUUAAGAUUUGGGUGUCCCUGGGGAAAGAGUUUCCCUGAACCUCAUUUGCUUGAUGUAAAACACUGAAUAUUAUUAUCUACAUCUUAACAUGGUGAGAAUUAAAUUAUGUAUGCUAUACAUAAUAUAUAUAUAUAACACAUGUAUAUAUACACAUAUAUACAUGUAUAAUAUAUAUAUAGAACAGGACUUGGCACAUAAUAGAUAUUUAAUAAAUGGUCACCGUAAUAAUUAUUAAUAAAAGAAUAAUCCUUAAUAAUCACAAUUUUCUCGUUGCCCUCUUGAUCUCAGGUCUGGCUGAAAUACCACAUUGGUCUUUCUGCCUCUUAACUUACUCAGUGAGAGUUUAGCUAGAAAUCGAAGAACCAGCAGCAGUUCCUUGUGAAGAAAGAGAGGCCCGGAGAGGGCAACAUGACUUUCCCAAUGUGGCCACGCUGGUGGGUCCUCGGAUCCUCCUGCUUCCACAUCAGUGUUUUAGUAAAAUAUGGGAAGAUUGUCAAACACUGAAAUAACGCAUGUAAUUUACCCUUUCUUUUAAAGAAACCUUUGGGGGCCAGCCCCGGUGGCCCAGCGGUUAAGUUCGGCAUGCUCCACUUCGGCGGCCCAGGUUAGGUUCCCUGGCGUGCACCUACAGCGCUCGUCUGUCAGUGGCCGUGCUAUGGUGGGGGCUCACGUACAAAAAGAAGAAGACUGGCAACAGAUGUUAGCUCAGAAGACGAGAUUAAGAUGCAGACAUGCAUGUGGACAGAGGAAAGACCAUGUGAGGGCACAGGGAGAAGGCGGCCAUGUCCAAAGCAAGGAGGGGGGCCUCAGGAGAAGCGAACCCUCUUGACACUUUGAUCUUGGACCCCCAGCCUCCAGAACUGUGAGACCAUAAAUGUCUGUUGGUCAAGCCACCCAGUCUGUUAUGGGGCCCCAGCAGACCAAUAUGUGGUUUAAUCAUAGCUGCACUGUGAUUUUAAUCAAUCAAUCAUAAAGGUUAUUGGACACCUGUUUUUUAAAAUCACCAUGUAAAUUGAGUAUACUUUUGUUUUUUCUUUUUAACAGCAUAAUUGAGGGAUAAUUAACAUACAGUAAACUAUACAUACUUUAAAUGUACAAUCUGAUAAAUUUUGACGUCUAGGCUCAUGAAACCACAAUCAAGAUAAUGAACACAUGUCAUCUUCAAAAGUUUCCUUGAGCUCCUUUGUAAUCUCUCUCUGUCCCUCCUUCUCCUUCCCCCAUUUUCCAGGCCACCACUGAAUCUGCUUUCUGUCAUUAUAGAUUAAUUUGCCGUUUCUAGAGUUUUAUAUAAAUGGAAGCAUAUAGUAUGUACUCUUUUUUUGGUCUAACUUCUUUCACUUUGCGUAAUUAUUUGGACAUUCGUCCAGGGUGCUGUGUGUAUCAAGAGGGCAUUCUUUUU